CAAAGGAAUUGACGGGGACCCGCACAAGCGGUGGAUGAUGUGGAUUAAUUCGAUGCAACGCGAAAAACCUUACCUACCCUUGACAUGCCAGGAACUUGCCAGAGAUGGCUUGGUGCUCGAAAGAGAACCUGGACACAGGUGCUGCAUGGCUGUCGUCAGCUCGUGUCGUGAGAUGUUGGGUUAAGUCCCGCAACGAGCGCAACCCUUGUCAUUAGUUGCCACCAUUCAGUUGGGCACUCUAAUGAGACUGCCGGUGACAAACCGGAGGAAGGUGGGGAUGACGUCAAGUCCUCAUGGCCCUUAUGGGUAGGGCUUCACACGUCAUACAAUGGUCGGUACAGAGGGUUGCCAACCCGCGAGGGGGAGCCAAUCCCACAAAGCCGAUCGUAGUCCGGAUUGGAGUCUGCAACUCGACUCCAUGAAGUCGGAAUCGCUAGUAAUCGUGGAUCAGCAUGUCACGGUGAAUACGUUCCCGGGUCUU
RNAcentral lists this ribosomal RNA (481 nucleotides) under uncultured Nitrosomonadaceae bacterium. Its description in RNAcentral is "bacterial SSU rRNA". It matches the Rfam family "Bacterial small subunit ribosomal RNA", at positions 902 to 1382 of the family's 1533-position model. Lineage: Bacteria; Pseudomonadati; Pseudomonadota; Betaproteobacteria; Nitrosomonadales; Nitrosomonadaceae. The record is from RNAcentral.